Acanthosepion pharaonis is the source of this 110-nucleotide non-coding RNA. The record is from the annotation of a GenBank genome assembly. NCBI's taxonomy places the organism in Eukaryota, Metazoa, Mollusca, Cephalopoda, Sepiida, Sepiidae.
AGCCAUAUCACGUUCAAACCCCGGUUCUCGUAAGAUCACAGAAGUUAAGCAUCGUGGGACCUGGUCAGUACCAAAAUGAGUGACCACCGGACAAUACCAGUUGCUGUAAU